This 191-nucleotide microRNA precursor is filed under the name Oryza rufipogon (brownbeard rice). RNAcentral describes it as "MIR812 microRNA precursor family". It matches the Rfam family "MIR812 microRNA precursor family". Lineage: Eukaryota; Viridiplantae; Streptophyta; Magnoliopsida; Poales; Poaceae. The record is from Rfam by way of RNAcentral.
AAUAACUAUAAUUAUAUACUAUCUAUAUCCAACGUUUAACGAUUCGUCUUAUUUAAAAAAAUUAUGAUUAGUAUUUUUUAUUGUUAUUAGAUGAUAAAACAUAAAUAGUUCUUUAUGUGUGACAUUUUUUAUUUUUUUAUAAUUUUUUUAAAUAAAACGAACGGUCAAAUAUUGGACAAGAUGCACUUAUU